CCUACGGGAGGCAGCAGUGGGGAAUAUUGGGCAAUGGAGGAAACUCUGACCCAGCGACGCCGCGUGCGGGAUGAAGGCCUUCGGGUUGUAAACCGCUUUCAGUAGGGAAGAAGCGAAAGUGACGGUACCUACAGAAGAAGCACCGGCUAACUAUGUGCCAGCAGCCGCGGUAAUACAUAGGGUGCAAGCGUUGUCCGGAAUUAUUGGGCGUAAAGAGCUCGUAGGUGGUUCGUCACGUCGGAUGUGAAAAUCUGGGGCUCAACCCCAGACCUGCAUUCGAUACGGGCGAUCUAGAGUGUGGUAGGGGAGACUGGAAUUCCUGGUGUAGCGGUGGAAUGCGCAGAUAUCAGGAGGAACACCAAUGGCGAAGGCAGGUCUCUGGGCCAUUACUGACACUGAGGAGCGAAAGCGUGGGGAGCGAACAGGAUUAGAUACCCUGGUAGUCCACGCCGUAAACGGUGGGCACUAGUUGUGGGAACCUUCCACGGUUUCUGCGACGCAGCUACGACAUUAGUCGCCCGCCGUCGGGUAGGUACGAGCGCGAGAAUUAAACUAACAAAUAGAAGUUAGACGGCGUGAGACGUCGCCGAACGGACGACCGACCGAGGGAGGUAGG
Molecule: ribosomal RNA, 616 nt
Filed under: uncultured bacterium
Lineage: Bacteria
Description: bacterial SSU rRNA
Rfam family: Bacterial small subunit ribosomal RNA (bases 1-523)
Source: RNAcentral